UACGGAGGGGGCUAGCGUUGUUCGGAAUUACUGGGCGUAAAGCGCACGUAGGCGGCUUUGUAAGUUAGAGGUGAAAGCCCGAGGCUCAACCUCGGAACUGCGUCUGAAACUACUCGACUAGAGUACUGGAGAGGGUAACGGAAUUCACGGUGUAGCAGUGAAAUGCGUAGAUAUCGUGAGGAACACCAGAGGCGAAGGCGGUUACCUGGACAGUUACUGACGCUCAGGCACGAAAGCAUGGGGAGCAAAAGGG
RNAcentral lists this ribosomal RNA (253 nucleotides) under uncultured bacterium. Its description in RNAcentral is "partial 16S ribosomal RNA". It matches the Rfam family "Bacterial small subunit ribosomal RNA", at positions 524 to 776 of the family's 1533-position model. The record is from RNAcentral.